Ornithorhynchus anatinus (platypus) is the source of this 138-nucleotide small nucleolar RNA. The record is from RefSeq and is a predicted model, not a curated record. NCBI's taxonomy places the organism in Eukaryota, Metazoa, Chordata, Mammalia, Monotremata, Ornithorhynchidae.
CCCGUCUCAGGGUCGCACCUGGAGAGUUUCCAGUACUCUACCAGUUUCUGCUAUGGGAAGGAGAGUCAAGCAGAGGCCCACCCUUUCCAUUCCUAGCUUGGGCAGUGGUUAGGGGGUGAAAGGCAAUCUGCUACAGGU